Molecule: unclassified non-coding RNA, 253 nt
Filed under: uncultured Halomonadaceae bacterium
Lineage: Bacteria; Pseudomonadati; Pseudomonadota; Gammaproteobacteria; Oceanospirillales; Halomonadaceae
Description: contains 16S-23S intergenic spacer region
Rfam family: Bacterial small subunit ribosomal RNA
Source: RNAcentral
UACGGAGGGUGCGAGCGUUAAUCGGAAUUACUGGGCGUAAAGCGCGCGUAGGCGGCUUGAUAAGCCGGUUGUGAAAGCCCCGGGCUCAACCUGGGAACGGCAUCCGGAACUGGCAGGCUAGAGUACGGGAGAGGAAGGUGGAAUUCCCGGUGUAGCGGUGAAAUGCGUAGAGAUCGGGAGGAAUACCAGUGGCGAAGGCGCCCUUCUGGACUGACACUGACGCUGAGGUGCGAAAGCGUGGGGAGCAAACAGG